RNAcentral lists this ribosomal RNA (231 nucleotides) under uncultured Alicycliphilus sp. RNAcentral's name for it is "partial 16S ribosomal RNA". It matches the Rfam family "Bacterial small subunit ribosomal RNA", at positions 550 to 774 of the family's 1533-position model. The record is from RNAcentral. Lineage: Bacteria; Pseudomonadati; Pseudomonadota; Betaproteobacteria; Burkholderiales; Comamonadaceae.
AGCUGAUCACUGGGCGUAAAGCGUGCGCAGGCGGUUUUGUAAGACAGAGGUGAAAUCCCCGGGCUCAACCUGGGAACUGCCUUUGUGACUGCAAGGCUGGAGUGCGGCAGAGGGGGAUGGAAUUCCGCGUGUAGCAGUGAAAUGCGUGGAUAUGCGGAGGAACACCGAUGGCGAAGGCAAUCCCCCUGGGCCUGCACUGACGCUCAUGCACGAAAGCGUGGGGAGCAAACA